RNAcentral lists this transfer RNA (73 nucleotides) under Alligator mississippiensis (American alligator). It matches the Rfam family "tRNA". Rfam says of the family: Transfer RNA (tRNA) molecules are approximately 80 nucleotides in length. The record is from Rfam by way of RNAcentral. Lineage: Eukaryota; Metazoa; Chordata; Crocodylia; Alligatoridae.
GGGCCAGUGGCGCAAUGGAUAACAUGUCUGAUUUCAGAUCAGAAGACUGCAGGUUCAACUCCUACCUGGCUCG